This 1628-nucleotide long non-coding RNA is filed under the name Drosophila guanche. The record is from RNAcentral. Lineage: Eukaryota; Metazoa; Arthropoda; Insecta; Diptera; Drosophilidae.
GUACAAAUGUAUGUAGUAUUUUUGUUGUACUAGCGUACUAGCGUACUAGCGUACUAGCGUCACGAACAUGUACAUGUAGGUAGCUUGGUACCUUUUCAUUGUUGCUUCCAUUUUGCGAUCCGAUCGAUUGUUGCAGCUUUUCAAACUCCAGCCUCUGUAUUUCUCUGUAUUGCCACAUGCCACAAAGAUAAGUUGCCACAAAGUUGUUAUUGAAAAUACCAAAACAAUUCCUAAGAACUCCCGAUGAUGCCUUGAUCAGUCUGGCAGCACAACAUAUCGAGUCUUUUUCUACAAUCCUAUCGACCUAUCGUAUCGAGUCUUUUACAAUCUAUUCCCAGUCCCAAUCCCAAUCCCAAUCCCUGACGGCACGUCCUUACCGAGCCACUUUCUGAUGGAGAGGCGACCCUCUAGAUCGGCAGCACUGAGACGGCACUCGAACUCCUUAUAUUUGAUCUGUCCCAGUGCCGAGUGAUUGAGUGAUUGAGCCCGAAUGCCUGUAUCUCGAGCAGAGGCAACUCAGCCUCAGCCAUCGAUGGCCGAUGCUCUGCUCGAUGCCGAUGCCGAUGCCGAUGCUGUGUGCCCAGCGUGUGCUGUGUGCGUGAAUUGGCGAAAGUCCUCGAUCAAAAUGUAGCCCAGGUUCUGUGUAUCGAUCAUCUUGCACAGUAGGCGCAUCUUAUGGGCGCUUUCGUUAUCGGGUGGACUCCAUGGUGGUACUCCAUGGUCUUGGUGAACUGGUGAAUAUGAACUGCGGCUCCAGCCGCUCCAGUAGCGCAGGCGCACACAAAUUGGUCAAAGGAGAGCGCAGCUCUGGACGGGGAAAGGUGUCCACGAUUUGGCGUUUCAAUGGAUGCUGAGCAAGCUGCGGUAUGCGGAGCAUAUCUGUGGGUGUCAGAUAGCCACGACGCUGUCGAUCCAAUGUCGAUCCAAUGAUUGAAACCGUUUAUAUUUAUUUAUAGAGCUGCUCCAACUGUGCACACGAGAGUCCCGUCUCCCGUCUCCCGUCUCCCGCUGAUGCUCCGCCAGCCAUCUGCUUGGGGCUCAGCGAACGGCUGCAGUUCAAUCCCAUUCUGAUGGUAGAUGGUAGAUGGUAGAUGGUAUAUGGUAGAUCUGUAGAUUUGCUGCUGGUCCCCAGCUCCAGUUCCAGUUCCUGUUCCUUGUGAUUGAUGCAUUUUGAUGCAAGUCAAAACGACAACUUGUGUGCGCCACCUGUUUCUGUUUUUUCUAUUAAUGCUUCUGAAAUAAAACAUAAAUAUCAAAUAUCAAAUAUCAAAUAUCGGGUUUCUGCUGCCUUCCUGGACAUUUUUGCUAGUUUUCCCCAUCUUCGGGCGUAUGGCGGGGGAGACUCUAUUUCUGCUUAGGCGGCCUUGAAAGCUGAAAGCUGAAAGCUGAAAGCUGAAAUAUGUAAAUCGGUAUAAUGGGUAAGCACUCUCUCACUCUGUCGCUUGGCAUUAUUACUUUCCGUGUCAUUUUCAUUUGUUGACUUUUGCAAAAUGCGGCAUAAAUCAAAACGGUAUGGAGGGGGCUGUCAGGGCUGGCAGGGAUCUGGGAUCUGGGAUCUGGGAGGUGGUUGUCGGAGAAUACUUCCGUGGCAUCGGACUGCAUUGGAUUCGCCUCUGCCUCUGCCUCUG